AUUGAACGCUGGCGGCAUGGCUAAAACAUGCAAGUCGAGCGCGAAAGUGGAGCAAUCCAUGAGUAGAGCGGCGAAAGGGUGAGUAAUAGGUUUCUACGUGCCUUGAGGUCGAGGAUAGCCAGGGGAAACUCUGGGUAAUACUCGAUGUGAUCGAGAGAUCAAAGGCUUGCCGCCUCAAGAGCGGGGAACCUCCUAUCAGGUAGUUGGUGAGGUAACGGCUCACCAAGCCUUUGACGGGUAGCGGGUGUGAGAGCAUGGCCCGCCACAUCGAAACUGAGACACUGUUCGGACUCCUACGGGAGGCUGCAGUAACGAAUC
This 318-nucleotide ribosomal RNA is filed under the name uncultured bacterium. RNAcentral's name for it is "bacterial SSU rRNA". It matches the Rfam family "Bacterial small subunit ribosomal RNA", at positions 30 to 363 of the family's 1533-position model. The record is from RNAcentral.